GACGAACGCUUUCUUCUUUCUUAACACAUGCAAGUCGAACGGAAAGGCCCUGCUUGCAGGGUACUCGAGUGGCGAACGGGUGAGUAACACGUGGGUGAUCUGCCCUGCACUUCGGGAUAAGCGUGGGAAACUGGGUCUAAUACCGGAUAGGAGCCAUCUUUAGUGUGGUGGUUGGAAAGUUUUUUCGGUGUAGGAUGAGCUCGCGGCCUAUCAGCUUGUUGGUGGGGUAAUGGCCUACCAAGGCUGCGACGGGGAGCCGGCCUGGGAGGGUGGACGGCCAAUUUGGGACUGAGCUACGGGCCGGACUCCGACGGGGUGGAGCAGGGGGGAAUAUUUGACAAAGGGGGCCAGCCUGAUUGAAGGACGCCGCCGGGGGGAAUAACGCCUUUGGGGUGGAAAAUCCUUUCCCUAGGGACGAAGCGUUGUUGUGACGGUACCUAGAUAAGAAGCAACGGCUAACUACGUG
Molecule: ribosomal RNA, 466 nt
Filed under: uncultured bacterium
Lineage: Bacteria
Description: partial 16S ribosomal RNA
Rfam family: Bacterial small subunit ribosomal RNA
Source: RNAcentral